GAAGGGCGGGUUUGCCUAUGACGUCCUUGAAGAGGGAGAGUAGUAGUAGAAUGAAGAGAGAACACACCACAUACACAACGGGGGAUAAAAAAAAUCGAAAUUCCUUAAUUCAAUCCUGCUAAAAUAAAAACAGGAGAGGACAUUCCGAUUAAAUUCCCGCUUUAAGAUAGGGCGAAUACAAAUGAAGUAUUGCGCCUAUCGGUGUGGUAGUGUCCUCCUUUUUGCCGUCAGGACGCAAUCUCUUCUUGUUGUUUUCACCAACCACAGGUCACCAACGACUGCAACAACAUUCACCCCUCAUUAUAUUUAACAUCGCGGCCCCUGCACGAAAAAGAUGUUCACAACAAAAACGAACGGACUAGUCGGCCACCAACACACGAUUGUGGCUCCUUCUUCGCUCCUGGGCCAAGGUUCUGAAUACAAGGGGGAACCUUACGGACACAAACUACACCCACAGUUGAAGCCAUUACCGUGCGGCUGCCUCUCACUGACGUAGCCUCUUUUCUUUCUUUUUUUUUUUUUUAUGUUGCUGCUCAUAUCUUACUGCGCAGCACUGUGCUACUUCCUUUUUGGCAGCGACUACGUCAGUGACAUCCUGCCCACCCCGUCUCAUCAAAUUAACCAGAUUUCCUUUCGUUACUCCCUCGAUUCCAUCAGGGGGAGAUUCUUUCGUUUUUAUCUUAUCGAGAUUGUCUCCGAUAAAAUGUAUUUGUUUAAAAAAAAUCUACGAAAGCAAAUAAAGAGUGAAAAAUUUGAAAGUAUUUGAGUUGAAUUUUGGCCUUGACUUGGCGGAAACCAGAUGACCUGAUGAUUAUUAUUGGUCCUAGAGUUUGUGUAGCGUGCAAACGUGCAGCGAUGGCGUCAUCGAUCCGUUUCUCCACCAUGCUGUGUGUGUGUGUAUAUAUACAGACGCACACACACACACACACACAUACGAAAUCUAUGUGGAAUGGAAGGGGCUGGAGGAAUGGCCGCUCCGCUUUCAGAUCGACGGACGAGACGGCGACGGCGCAGUUGAGUGAAGAGGGAGAAAUAUAGAAGGGACUAUCGACAACAACUCCGGAGCUGCGCAGUACACAGACAAGCACAUCCAGUUCUCUCUCUCUUUCUCUCUUUCUACUUGUAUUUUUGUUUUCUUCUUUGCUUCUUCUAUUUACUUCUAUUUUCCUUUAAACUUCGCCCCUCGUCAGCUGAUUUCCACACAGCUCCGUUAUCCAACCUCUCUCUCCAUUUCUCCCUUUCUAUCUUUUGGCUCUCUUUCGUGUUUGGUUGGCCCGUCCUUGAAACGGAGCCAAGAGCCGCAUUCUUGCACCUCCUCCUCUCUGGGGCCGUAGUAUACGUACUAUUAUUGUUUUCAUUUUGAAGCUCCACCCCUCCAUUUCUUUUCUUUUUUUUUUCGAUUCGUGCAGAAUAACAAUCUAACUUGAAAAAAAAAAAAAGAUUCGUGCCUUUUCUUCUGGCGCGUUUUCACCGCUGCUCCGCCUGCCACAAUGACGAAGAAGAUAGCCAAACUGAUAAGGAAAAAGAAAAAGAAAAAGAAAAAAAGUUGGAUUUUCCCUGGUGAGCUCCAAGGAUUGAUGUUCAAUAACGAGUCGGUAGAUGGCGAAGAGGUCGCGCAAAAGGGGAUCGACCGGUUAGCAACAACAACAAUAACACAGACACAUCCACUGCAGACACACAUUUGUAUGUGUUGUACAAUAACGAAUGAGCCUGAAAGAGCAUUUACCUGGCUCAAGUCGAGCACCAUUCCCGGGUUGUUGUGAUGGGAGGAAGCCGAAUGAAGGGCGGCUGCGGCCGCCGCUGCCGCUGCUGCCACCGCCACCGAUUGGGCUGCGAGCUGCUGGCCGUUACCGCCGCUGCCUCCGUUGUUAUUGCUGCCACCCGAUACGUUGUUGGAGCCGCUGUUGCCGGGCGAGAGUUGUUGUGGUUGUUGCUGUUGGUGAUGGUGUUGAGACGGGCCAGCUCCUGGUCUCUGACCGCCGCUAGAAGCGCUAGUUCCACCGUUGCCAUCACGGUACCGGCACCGUCUCAAAUGCGGACUAGAAUUUCAGAUAUCCAUUUCAUCGAGUUAAAAUUGAGUUUUAAAUUUGACGGUUUUAAAUUUAAUGGACGUUACAAAUUUUAAUCAAUGCUAAGAUUAAAAAACCACUACUCACCUGGGGACGCAACGGGCAGAACUUCUAGAUGAAUGCCUCCGUCGUUCGCGAUCUCCAGGAACGCCAGGACCUCCAACGUGCGGAUUGUGAUUCUCACGCUCCCUGGGAUGGGGCGAUGGUGCAACAACGGGCUGAGGCGCCGAUAAGAGUGGCGGGGACGGCGUAGUGCGAGACUCACCCCCUCCACCGCCGCUACCCAUCACGACCGCCCCUCCACCUCCCGAGGCCAGUCGAGCUCUUUUUCUACUGGGACUCGUACUCGCCUAUUACGUGUCAUUAUUUUGAAAGAAAAAUACAAAAUUUAGUUUAA
Molecule: long non-coding RNA, 2466 nt
Filed under: Daphnia magna
Lineage: Eukaryota; Metazoa; Arthropoda; Branchiopoda; Diplostraca; Daphniidae
Description: uncharacterized LOC116926901
Source: RNAcentral